AUGAGAUCAGACAAAUGUCUAUGGAAAGAAAACAAAAAAGAGAGAGAGAGAGAGAAGAGGUGAUGAGAAGGAGAAAGAAGCAAAGGCAAUGGCUGAUAUAAAUACUCUGCUCUAUCACAAAAUGGUAGACAUCUCUAUCUCUUUUGUGUGUUAUUUUUCUUUCCCGUUUAGGCAAAAUGCAUAUAUAAUUUUCUUCUCAUUAAAUUGCUUGUUUUCUUUAAAAAGUUGUAAAAAGUUUAACCUCUGCAAAACCUGCUAAAACAAAUAAUACUAUAUUUAGGAGAGUCAACUUGUUUGUUGGUGAAUGGUGAUUGUCUAAAAUGACGGAAGAGAUUAAUCCAUGUGAC
RNAcentral lists this long non-coding RNA (347 nucleotides) under Brassica napus (rape). Its description in RNAcentral is "long non-coding RNA (BNAP_LNC012777)". Lineage: Eukaryota; Viridiplantae; Streptophyta; Magnoliopsida; Brassicales; Brassicaceae. The record is from RNAcentral.